CGGCGAGUGAAGCGGCAACAGCUCAAAUUUGAAAUCUGGCCUUCUUUGGGGGUCCGAGUUGUAAUUUGCAGAGGGCGCUUUGGCGUCGGCAGCGGUCUAAGUUCCUUGGAACAGGACGUCACAGAGGGUGAGAAUCCCGUACGUGGUCGCCUGCCUUCGCCGUGUAAAGCCCCUUCGACGAGUCGAGUUGUUUGGGAAUGCAGCUCUAAAUGGGAGGUAAAUUUCUUCUAAAGCUAAAUACUGGCCAGAGACCGAUAGCGCACAAGUAGAGUGAUCGAAAGAUGAAAAGCACUUUGGAAAGAGAGUCAAACAGCACGUGAAAUUGUUGAAAGGGAAGCGCUUGCCGCCAGACUUGCCCGUGAAGGUUCUCCUCCUCGGGCAGGCCAGCAUCAGUUUGAGCGAUCGGAUAAUGGCCUCUGUCAUGUAUCUUCCUUCGGGAUGACCUUAUAGGGGAGUCGUAGUACGGUCAGCUCGGACUGAGGUCCGCGCAUUUGCUAGGAUGCUGGCGUAAUGGCUGCAAGCGGCCCGUCUUGAAACACGGACCAAGGAGUCUAACAUCUAUGCGAGUGUUUGGGUGUCAAGCCCGAGCGCGCAAUGAAAGUGAACGGAGGUGGGAACCCUCUCUGGGGGUGCACCAUCGACCGAUCCUGAAGUCUUCGGAUGGAUUUGAGUAAGAGCAUGGCUGUUGGGACCCGAAAGAUGGUGAACUAUGCUUGAAUAGGGUGAAGCCAGAGGAAACUCUGGUGGAGGCUCGCAGCGGUUCUGACGUGCAAAUCGAUCGUCAAAUUUGGGCAUAGGGGCGAAAGACUAAUCGAACUAUCUAGUAGCUGGUUCCUGCCGAAGUUCCCUCAGGAUAGCAGUAACGUAUUCAGGUUUAUGAGGUAAAGCGAAUGAUUAAAGGCCUGGGGGUUGAACAACCUUCACUAUUCUCAACUUUAAUAUGUAAAAAUCCUUGUACUUGAUGGAC
This 967-nucleotide ribosomal RNA is filed under the name Dictyocheirospora rotunda. RNAcentral's name for it is "eukaryotic LSU rRNA". It matches the Rfam family "Eukaryotic large subunit ribosomal RNA", at positions 87 to 1099 of the family's 3401-position model. The record is from RNAcentral. Lineage: Eukaryota; Fungi; Ascomycota; Dothideomycetes; Pleosporales; Dictyosporiaceae.